RNAcentral lists this ribosomal RNA (832 nucleotides) under Eudiaptomus environmental sample. Its description in RNAcentral is "SSU rRNA". It matches the Rfam family "Eukaryotic small subunit ribosomal RNA", at positions 626 to 1478 of the family's 1831-position model. Lineage: Eukaryota; Metazoa; Arthropoda; Copepoda; Calanoida; Diaptomidae. The record is from RNAcentral.
GCUCGUAGUUGGAUCUCGGCGGACAGAAGUCGGUCCGAAUGCUUUCGGUACUGGCUUGUUUGUCCGUGUGUUUUGCCAGAGGCAGGCGGGUGCUCUUCGCCGAGUGUCCGUCUGUGCUGGCAGGUUUACUUUGAAAAAAUUAGAGUGCUCAAAGCAAGCUCUCACGCUUGAAUAUUCGUGCAUGGAAUAAUAGAAUAGGAUGUCGUUUCUAUUUUGUUGGUUUUCGGAAAUCGACAUAAUGAUUAAUAGGGACAGUCGGGGGCAUUUGUAUUCAAACGACAGAGGUGAAAUUCUUGGACCGUUUGAAGACAAACUACUGCGAAAGCAUUUGCCAAGAAUGUUUUCAUUAAUCAAGAACGAAAGUUAGAGGUUCGAAGGCGAUUAGAUACCGCCCUAGUUCUAACCAUAAACGAUGCCAGCUAGCGAUCUGCAGGCGUUUUACUUUACGACCUUGCAGGGAGCUUCCGGGAAACCAAAGCUUGUGGGUUCCAGGGGAAGUAUGGUUGCAAAGCUGAAACUUAAAGGAAUUGACGGAAGGGCACCACCAGGAGUGGAGCCUGUGGCUUAAUUUGACUCAACACGGGAAAUCUCACCAGGCCCGGACACGAGAAGGAUUGACAGAUUGAUAGCUCUUUCUUGAUUUCGUGGGUGGUGGUGCAUGGCCGUUCUUAGUUGGUGGAGUGAUUUGUCUGGUUAAUUCCGAUAACGAACGAGACUCUGUCCUGCUAACUAGUGUCUGCUUCUUUUCUGAGCAGAUUAUUCUUCUUAGAGGGACUGGUAGCUCUUAGCUACACGAGAUUGAGCAAUAACAGGUCUGUGAUGCCUCUUAGAU